This 116-nucleotide ribosomal RNA is filed under the name Pteropus alecto (black flying fox). The record is from RNAcentral. Lineage: Eukaryota; Metazoa; Chordata; Mammalia; Chiroptera; Pteropodidae.
GUCUACAGACGUGGUACCCUGAACUAGCCCAAUAUCUGAUCUCGGAAGCUAAGCAGGGUUGGGCCUGGUUAGUACUUGGAUGGGAGACCACCUAAGAAGACCAGGUGCUGUAGGCA